This 254-nucleotide ribosomal RNA is filed under the name uncultured bacterium. Its description in RNAcentral is "partial 16S ribosomal RNA". It matches the Rfam family "Bacterial small subunit ribosomal RNA", at positions 524 to 776 of the family's 1533-position model. The record is from RNAcentral.
UACGUAGGGGGCAAGCGUUAUCCAGAUUUACUGGGCGUAAAGCGCGUGUAGGCGGCUGGUUAGGUGUGAUGUGAAAUCUUCCGGCUCAACCGGAAAACUGCAUUGCAAACCGGCCUGGCUAGAGUGCAGGAGAGGGAAGCGGAAUUCCAGGUGUAGCGGUGAAAUGCGUAGAUAUCAGGAGGAACACCGGUGGUGUAGACGGCUUUCUGGACCGUAACUGACGCUGAGACACGAAAGCGUGGGUAGCAAACAGG